Molecule: ribosomal RNA, 465 nt
Filed under: uncultured bacterium
Lineage: Bacteria
Description: partial 16S ribosomal RNA
Rfam family: Bacterial small subunit ribosomal RNA
Source: RNAcentral
GACGAACGCUGGCGGCGUGCUUAACACAUGCAAGUCGAACGGAAAGGCCCCUUUGGGUGUACUCGAGUGGAGCACGGGAGAAUAACACGUGAGUAACCUGCCCUAGACUUCGGGAAAUCCUCAGGAACCUGGGGCUAAUCCCGGAUAGGAAUCCUUGCUGCCUGGUGGGGGUUGGAAAUCUUCGGCGGGUUUGGGUGGCCUGCCGGCUUAUCGCCUUGUUGGUGGGGUAGUGGCUUACCAAGGCUUUGCCGGGUAGCCGGCCUGGGGGGGCGACCGGCCACAAUGGGGAUUGGGGACGGGCCAGACUCCUACGGGGGGCAGCAGGGGGGAAUAUUGCACAAAGGGCGGAAGCCUGAUGCAGCAACGCCGCGGGCGGGAUGACGGCCUUCGGGUUGUAAACCGCUUUCAGCAGGGGCGAAGCUUGUGGUGACGGUACCUGCAGAAGAAGCACCGGCUAACUACGUG